Non-coding RNA from Pteropus alecto (black flying fox), 105 nucleotides. The record is from Rfam. NCBI's taxonomy places the organism in Eukaryota, Metazoa, Chordata, Mammalia, Chiroptera, Pteropodidae.
AUGCUCACUCUGGCAGCAUAUAUACUAAAAUUGGAAUAAUACAGAGAAGAUUAGCAUGGCCCCUGAGCAAGGAUGACAUAAAUUUAUGAAGCAUUCCAUAUGUUU